Molecule: unclassified non-coding RNA, 306 nt
Filed under: plant metagenome
Description: partial contains small subunit ribosomal RNA, internal transcribed spacer 1, and 5.8S ribosomal RNA
Source: RNAcentral
UUUCCGUAGGUGAACCUGCGGAAGGAUCAUUAUUGAAAAAUAUAUAACUUUUUUAUAUAUAUUCUUUUAUAUAUAUAACAAAAACACCUGGUGCUUGUGAAACCUUUUUGUGCUGUUUUAUAAAAAGAAAAAAUGGUGAAAUGACAAUAUAUUGUUUGCUUACACAAAUAUAUAAUUGUCUUUGAGUCAUAUUUUUUCUUUUUUAAAAAACUAUUCAAAACAACAUUUAACCAAACUUAUUUAGUCGGAAAAUUCGUAGUUUAUAUAAAAAAAUAACAACUUUUAACAACGGAUCUCUAGGCUCUU